AACAGCGUGGCGCAGUGGAAGCGUGCUGUGCCCAUAACCCAGAGGUCCCUGGAUCGAAACCAGUCGCUGCUA
This 72-nucleotide transfer RNA is filed under the name Saccoglossus kowalevskii. RNAcentral describes it as "tRNA-Met". It matches the Rfam family "tRNA". From Rfam's summary of the family: Transfer RNA (tRNA) molecules are approximately 80 nucleotides in length. Their secondary structure includes four short double-helical elements and three loops (D, anti-codon, and T loops). Lineage: Eukaryota; Metazoa; Hemichordata; Enteropneusta; Harrimaniidae. The record is from RNAcentral.